Molecule: unclassified non-coding RNA, 1398 nt
Filed under: Hevea brasiliensis (rubber tree)
Lineage: Eukaryota; Viridiplantae; Streptophyta; Magnoliopsida; Malpighiales; Euphorbiaceae
Source: RNAcentral
AAGAAAAAGGCCUUCAGUUUGACAGCUACACGGCAUGCAUGAAGCAGGAUAAAAAACAAGAAUAAAGUUAUCACCGCUCAAAUAGCAGCAAAGGCUUUUCAGAGCACCAAAACAAUGAGCACAUAAAAAAUGCUUCUUAUUGUAUUUGGUCUCAUGGGCUUUUAAAUAUCACAAUAUUGACAAAAAUUAGUGUCAAAAGGAUAUUUCAUUUAUAUAUAGAAAUUAAGAUUUAAGAAGCAGCACCACAAACAUCAUUUAGACCAAAGGCUCAAAAUUGGCCCUUAAAAUUUAAUACAAUAGUCAAAUUAGCCCUCUAUUUUUAUUUACAGUCAAUUGAACCCUUCAAAAUUCAACUAUAUUUUAGGCCCCUUUUAUUUCAAUUUUGGCUCAAUUAAACCCAAUUUCAGUUACGUGCUCAUGCGACAAAAAUGGACGCUCAAUUCAAUCAAUUACCAAAAAUAAAUUUUAAAAAAUAAUAAUCAACUCAAAAACAAAUCUGGGUUUCUUUUUCCUCAUCAUUAUUGCCAUUUUCUUCAAAACCAACUUUAGCUCAUACAUGCCCUCCUCAUGGAUCUCAACUAAAACCACCGCAUCAAUCACCACCUUCACUUAAUCUAUAACAAAUAAAUUAAUAAUUGCUUACCCCUAAAAGCUUGCCUGCAAGUAUCUGUUUACUGAAUACACUAUUCACUGCACCUUAACAAUGCCCCACUAAACUACCCACAAACCAUCAAAAACCAUACCAAUAUCAAAAUGUUAAAAGGGGAAAAAAAAAAGUUAUGGUCUUAGCUUUUGGAAACUAAAACGAUCCUCAACAAAUCUAAUCAGGAACAAGAAGUUGAAAUAAUAAGAACCCAGUAACUACUAAAGUUGAGAUCUCUUAAAGAUUAAUGAAUUUGAGAGUUGUUUGUAAAACCUGAAAAUGGUUUCUUCUAGAGAGAGCAAAGAUAUGUUUCAGAAGAGUUUAGACCCUAGAAAAGUUUGCAGGGAAAAUUUGCAGCGAAGAAGCUUUUGAUUAUGGAUGUUUGUAAGGGUUAGAGGAGAAAUUUUGAUAUUGGAGGUGGUGAAUUUGGUGUUGAUGAAGAAGAUAAGAAGGAAAAGCAGAUAUUAUGUUCAUUUUUUUUGCAGGUUUUGUAAAUGAUUAAGAAUUUCUUAUAAUUUUUAAAAAAUAUUUUUAAUUAUUAAAACAUAAAAAUAAUAUUUUACUCAUUAACUAUCUUCUUUACUAAAUCUUUUAAUGCUGUUAGUCAACACCGUUAAUUUUAGACUUACUAGGGUGAAUUUGAAUUGUGUAAGGCUUAAUUGACUGUGAAUAAAAAUGGAGGGCUAAAUUGACUUUUGAACUAAACUGUAGGGGCAUAUACAGGCCUUUGGCCCAUCAUUAAAGGGAAAACUCGA